GGUUAUGGCUCAGUGGUAGAGCACUUGCCUAGGUUGAGUGAGGCCCUGGGUUCAAUCCUCAGCACCA
This 67-nucleotide transfer RNA is filed under the name Marmota monax (woodchuck). RNAcentral describes it as "tRNA.Pro". Lineage: Eukaryota; Metazoa; Chordata; Mammalia; Rodentia; Sciuridae. The record is from RNAcentral.